AUUCAUUUCCCAAAAAAAUUUUAUUUUCAUUAUUUGAAAAACAAAAAAGUUACUUUGUACGUAAAAUAAUUACACAAAGUGAACCAACAGAAAAGUGUACGAGUGCCUAACACUUCAGUCUUCCACUACAAGUCAUCAGUGGAUGACUCAAUGUUAAACAUGAUAAAUACCUACAUUCCUUUAUGUUUUAAUGUCACUAUCAUUUCGACAUUCUACAAAGAAAACAAUUAAUUACAUACUCAAAUAAUUGCACAUUUUCCACAAAAACAAAUAUUGAAAGCUGUGGUAGAAACAUUAUCAAGAGAUAGGACAAGACAAUAACAAUGCCCUAAAGCUAGAAGAAAGAGACACUGUUUAGUGUGAUAAAGCUGUGCUGAGCAUCAGUCUCUUUCAAAGGGGUUGGGGGGGGGGGGAUGG
Molecule: non-coding RNA, 417 nt
Organism: Biomphalaria pfeifferi
Lineage: Eukaryota; Metazoa; Mollusca; Gastropoda; Planorbidae
Source: the annotation of a GenBank genome assembly